RNAcentral lists this non-coding RNA (105 nucleotides) under Planococcus sp. PAMC 21323. RNAcentral's name for it is "SAM riboswitch aptamer (S box leader)". It matches the Rfam family "SAM riboswitch aptamer (S box leader)". From Rfam's summary of the family: The SAM riboswitch is found upstream of a number of genes which code for proteins involved in methionine or cysteine biosynthesis in Gram-positive bacteria. The SAM riboswitch acts at the level of transcription termination control. The predicted structure consists of a complex stem-loop region followed by a single stem loop terminator region. Lineage: Bacteria; Bacillati; Bacillota; Bacilli; Caryophanales; Caryophanaceae. RNAcentral also lists the same sequence under 1 other name. The record is from Rfam by way of RNAcentral.
CUCUUAUUAAGAGCGGUGGAGGGAAGUGCCCUAUGAAGCCCGGCAACCGUCAUGAAAAUGAAAUGGUGCCAAGUCACUCAGAGCAAAAGCUUUGAAAGAUGAGAG